GAUGAAGAACGUAGCGAAAUGCGAUAAGUAUUGUGAAUUGCAGAAUUCAGUGAAUCAUCGAAUCUUUGAACGCACAUUGCGCCCGUCAGUAUUCUGGCGGGCAUGCCUGUUCGAGCGUCAUUACGCCCCUCAAGUCCCCUGUGGACUUGGUGUUGGGGAUCGGCGAGGCUGGUUUUCCAGCACAGCCGUCCCUUAAAUUAAUUGGCGGUCUCGCCGUGGCCCUCCUCUGCGCAGUAGUAAAACACUCGCAACAGGAGCCCGGCGCGGUCCACUGCCGUAAAACCCCCCAACUUUUUAUAGUUGACCUCGAAUCAGGUAGGACUACCCGCUGAACUUAAGCAUAUCAAUAAGCGGAGGA
RNAcentral lists this unclassified non-coding RNA (358 nucleotides) under soil metagenome. RNAcentral's name for it is "partial contains 5.8S ribosomal RNA, internal transcribed spacer 2, and large subunit ribosomal RNA". The stretch from base 1 to 120 matches the Rfam family "5.8S ribosomal RNA", at positions 35 to 154 of the family's 154-position model. The record is from RNAcentral.